RNAcentral lists this ribosomal RNA (505 nucleotides) under Bacillus cereus. Its description in RNAcentral is "bacterial SSU rRNA". It matches the Rfam family "Bacterial small subunit ribosomal RNA", at positions 1 to 493 of the family's 1533-position model. Lineage: Bacteria; Bacillati; Bacillota; Bacilli; Caryophanales; Bacillaceae. The record is from RNAcentral.
UUUGAAAACGUGAUCCUGGCUCAGGAUGAACGCUGGCGGCGUGCCUAAUACAUGCAAGUCGAGCGAAUGGAUUAAGAGCUUGCUUUUAUGAAGUUAGCGGCGGACGGGUGAGUAACACGCGGGUAACCUGCCCAUAAGACUGGGAUAACUCCGGGAAACCGGGGCUAAUACCGGAUAACAUUUUGAACCGCAUGGUUCGAAAUUGAAAGGCGGCUUCGGCUGUCACUUAUGGAUGGACCCGCGUCGCAUUAGCUAGUUGGUGAGGUAACGGCUCACCAAGGCAACGAUGCGUAGCCGACCUGAGAGGGUGAUCGGCCACACUGGGACUGAGACCCGGCCCAGACUCCUACGGGAGGCAGCAGUAGGGAAUCUUCCGCAAUGGACGAAAGUCUGACGGAGCAACGCCGCGUGAGUGAUGAAGGCUUUCGGGUCGUAAAACUCUGUUGUUAGGGAAGAACAAGUGCUAGUUAAUAAGCGGCACCUGACGGUACCAACCAGAAACCCA